Non-coding RNA from Trichonephila clavata, 73 nucleotides. Lineage: Eukaryota; Metazoa; Arthropoda; Arachnida; Araneae; Nephilidae. The record is from the annotation of a GenBank genome assembly.
GUCCUUGUAGUGCAGUGGGUAGCGUAUUGGACUUUUAAUCUAAAAGUCGUGGGUUCGAAUCCCACCUGGGACG